Molecule: ribosomal RNA, 1372 nt
Filed under: uncultured bacterium
Lineage: Bacteria
Description: bacterial SSU rRNA
Rfam family: Bacterial small subunit ribosomal RNA
Source: RNAcentral
GAUGAACGCUGGCGGCGUGCCUAAUACAUGCAAGUCGAGCGAACGGACGAGAAGCUUGCUUCUCUGAUGUUAGCGGCGGACGGGUGAGUAACACGUGGAUAACCUACCUAUAAGACUGGGAUAACUUCGGGAAACCGGAGCUAAUACCGGAUAAUAUUUUGAACCGCAUGGUUCAAAAGUGAAAGACGGUCUUGCUGUCACUUAUAGAUGGAUCCGCGCUGCAUUAGCUAGUUGGUAAGGUAACGGCUUACCAAGGCAACGAUGCAUAGCCGACCUGAGAGGGUGAUCGGCCACACUGGAACUGAGACACGGUCCAGACUCCUACGGGAGGCAGCAGUAGGGAAUCUUCCGCAAUGGGCGAAAACCUGACGGAGCAACGCCGCGUGAGUGAUGAAGGUCUUCGGAUCGUAAAACUCUGUUAUUAGGGAAGAACAUAUGUGUAAGUAACUGUGCACAUCUUGACGGUACCUAAUCAGAAAGCCACGGCUAACUACGUGCCAGCAGCCGCGGUAAUACGUAGGUGGCAAGCGUUAUCCGGAAUUAUUGGGCGUAAAGCGCGCGUAGGCGGUUUUUUAAGUCUGAUGUGAAAGCCCACGGCUCAACCGUGGAGGGUCAUUGGAAACUGGAAAACUUGAGUGCAGAAGAGGAAAGUGGAAUUCCAUGUGUAGCGGUGAAAUGCGCAGAGAUAUGGAGGAACACCAGUGGCGGAGGCGACUUUCUGGUCUGUAACUGACGCUGAUGUGCGAAAGCGUGGGGAUCAAACAGGAUUAGAUACCCUGGUAGUCCACGCUGUAAACGAUGAGUGCUAAGUGUUAGGGGGUUUCCGCCCCUUAGUGCUGCAGCUAACGCAUUAAGCACUCCGCCUGGGGAGUACGACCGCAAGGUUGAAACUCAAAGGAAUUGACGGGGACCCGCACAAGCGGUGGAGCAUGUGGUUUAAUUCGAAGCAACGCGAAGAACCUUACCAAAUCUUGACAUCCUUUGACAACUCUAGAGAUAGAGCCUUCCCCUUCGGGGGACAAAGUGACAGGUGGUGCAUGGUUGUCGCCAGCUCGUGUCGUGAGAUGUUGGGUUAAGUCCCGCAACGAGCGCAACCCUUAAGCUUAGUUGCCAUCAUUAAGUUGGGCACUCUAAGUUGACUGCCGGUGACAAACCGGAGGAAGGUGGGGAUGACGUCAAAUCAUCAUGCCCCUUAUGAUUUGGGCUACACACGUGCUACAAUGGACAAUACAAAGGGCAGCGAAACCGCGAGGUCAAGCAAAUCCCAUAAAGUUGUUCUCAGUUCGGAUUGUAGUCUGCAACUCGACUACAUGAAGCUGGAAUCGCUAGUAAUCGUAGAUCAGCAUGCUACGGUGAAUACGUUCCCGGGUCU